GUCAAGUCAUCAUGGCCUUUAUGCCCAGGGCUACACACGUGCUACAAUGGGGAGGACAAAGGGCUGCCACUUGGCGACAAGGAGCUAAUCCCAAAAACCUCUUCUCAGUUCAGAUUGCAGUCUGCAACUCGACUGCAUGAAGCUGGAAUCGCUAGUAAUCGCGUAUCAGCCAUGACGCGGUGAAUAUGUUCCUGAGCCUU
Molecule: ribosomal RNA, 200 nt
Filed under: uncultured organism
Description: partial small subunit ribosomal RNA
Rfam family: Bacterial small subunit ribosomal RNA
Source: RNAcentral